GGACUACCCGGGUUUCUAAUCCUGUUUGCUCCCCACGCUUUCGCGCCUCAGCGUCAGUUGCAGGCCAGCGAGCUGCCUUCGCCAUGGGUGUUCCGAUCGAUAUCUACGCAUUUCACCGCUACACCGACCAUUCCACUCGCCUCUCCCGCACUCAAGGUCCCCAGUAUGAAAGGCAGUGUCCGGGUUGAGCCCUGAACCUCUCACCCCUCACUUAAAGACCCGCCUACGCGCUCUUUACGCCCAGUAACUUCGGACAACGCUCGCCCCCUACGUAUUACCGCGGCUGCUGGCAC
RNAcentral lists this unclassified non-coding RNA (293 nucleotides) under uncultured fungus. RNAcentral's name for it is "sequence contains ITS1". Lineage: Eukaryota; Fungi. The record is from RNAcentral.